CUGCCGGCCAGGGCUGCCCGCACGCGCGCCUUACUAGCAGUGGUUGCGAGAUCGGAGAAGGGGAAGGAGAAAUGAGGCCGGCGACGGAAGGAUAAGUGUAGUCACAGGCUCGGCUUCACGUGAAGGGCAAGGCGGUGUACAUGUUCGCUGAAGGCUAGCCUCAGGAUUCAGUCAGGCGUUAGGAAGGACAAUCGCGGGAUACUAACGAGAGGUCCUCAGAGCAAAGUUGAAGGCGAGCCGCUAUCAUCUGCUGUUCUCUGCCGCAGAGAGGACUGGAGGCUCACAGCUGGAGGAAUUUGCCUUGGGAUGAAUCAUGCCUUGAGUCUCACCUAUAUCUGAUUUAGAUGAGACUUUGGACUUCAGGCUUUUGAGUUGAUGCUGGAUUGAGUUAAGACUUUUGGGACUAUUGGGAUGGAAUGAAUACAUUUUGCAAGUGAGAAGGACAUAAAUUUGGCUGGGGGGCAGGGGGAGAAUUUUAUGCUUUGAAUGUGUCCCCCCCAAAUUCAUAUGUUGGAAACUUGGCUGCCAUUGUGGCAGUACUGAAAGGUGGGGCCUUUGGGAGGCAAUUGGGUCACAAGGACAGAGCCUUCAUGAAUGGAUUGAUGUUGUUACUACAGGAGUGGACUCCUGAUAAAAGGAUAAGUUUGGCUGCCAUUGUCUGUCUGUUUCAUGUACUAACUUCUGCCUUUCACUUUUCCAUCAUGGGAUGAACUUCACCAGAUGACGGUGCCAUGCUCUUGGACUUACCAACCUCCAGAACUGUGAGCUGAAUAAACGUCUUUUCUUUAAACAUUA
Molecule: long non-coding RNA, 795 nt
Filed under: Homo sapiens (human)
Lineage: Eukaryota; Metazoa; Chordata; Mammalia; Primates; Hominidae
Description: HSALNT0390212
Source: RNAcentral